GACGAACGCUGGCGGCGUGCUUAACACAUGCAAGUCGAACGAUGACGACCGAGCUUGCUCGGUCUGAUUAGUGGCGAACGGGUGAGUAACACGUGAGCAACCUGCCCUUCACUCUGGUAUAACCUCGGGAAAUCGGGGCUAAUACCGGAUAUGAGCUCCUGUCGCAUGGCGGUGGUUGGAAAGUUUUUCGGUGAAGGAUGGGCUCGCGGCCUAUCAGUUUGUUGGUGAGGUAGUGGCUCACCAAGGCGAUGCCGGGUAGCCGGCCUGAGCGGGCGACCGGCCACACUGGGACUGAGACACGGCCCAGAAUCCUACGGGAGGCAGCAGUGGGGAAUAUUGCACAAUGGGCGAAAGCCUGAUGCAGCGACGCCGCGUGAGGGAUGACGGCCUUCGGGUUGUAAACCUCUUUCAGCAGGGAAGAAGCGAAAGUGACGGUACCUGCAGAAGAAGCGCCGGCUAACUACGUG
RNAcentral lists this ribosomal RNA (467 nucleotides) under uncultured bacterium. RNAcentral's name for it is "partial 16S ribosomal RNA". It matches the Rfam family "Bacterial small subunit ribosomal RNA", at positions 28 to 507 of the family's 1533-position model. The record is from RNAcentral.